RNAcentral lists this transfer RNA (59 nucleotides) under Songthela hangzhouensis. RNAcentral's name for it is "tRNA-Ile". Lineage: Eukaryota; Metazoa; Arthropoda; Arachnida; Araneae; Liphistiidae. The record is from RNAcentral.
AGUAAGAUGCCUGAAAAAGGAAUAUUCUGAUAGAAUAAAUCAUGGUUAUCCUCUUACUU